This 1886-nucleotide long non-coding RNA is filed under the name Sus scrofa (pig). Its description in RNAcentral is "lncRNA (ENSSSCG00005044721.1)". Lineage: Eukaryota; Metazoa; Chordata; Mammalia; Artiodactyla; Suidae. The record is from RNAcentral.
UUUUUUUUUUUUUUUUUUUUUUGUCCUUUUGCCUUUUCUAGGGCCGCUCCCGCGGCAUAUGGAGGUUCCCAGGCUAGGGGUCGAAUUGGAGCUAUAGCUGCUGGCCUACGCCAGAGCCACAGCAACUCGGGAUCCGAGCCGAGUGUACGACCUACACCACAGCUCAUGGCAACACCGGAUCCUUAACCUACUGAGCAAGGCCAGGGAUCGAACCUGAAACCUCAUGGUCCCUAGUCGGAUUUGUUAACCACUGAGCCACGAUGGGAAGUCCAAAAAAAAGAAAAAGAUUUUAAAAAUAAAUAAAUUAAUUAAAAUUGGUAAAGUUUUUUUUUGUUUUUUGUUUUUUGGUCUUUUGGUCUUUUCAGGGACACACCCAUGGCAUAUGGAGGUUCCCAGGCUAAGUGUUGACUUGGAGCUGUAGCCACUGGCCUAUGCCACAACCACAGCAACCAGGGAUCCGAGCCACAUCUGUGACCUACACCACAGCUCAUGGCCACACCUGAUCCUUAACCCACUGAGCGAGGCUAGGGAUCGAACCCUCAUCCUCACGGAUGCUAGUCGGGUUUGUUAACCACAAAGCCGUGACAGGAGCUCCCUGGGCAAAGGAUUUGAACAGACAUUUCUCCAAAGAAGAUAUACAGAUGGCCAACAAACAUAGGAAAAGAUGCUCAGCACCACUAAUGAUUAGGACAAGGCAAAUCAAAACUACAAAGAGAUAUUACCUCACCCACAGUAGGAUGUCUACUCUAAAAACAAAAACAAAAGCAGAAAACAAGUGUUAGCAAGGAUGUAGAGAAAUCAGAAUGAUAAUGCAUUGUUGGUAGGAAUGAAAAAUGGUGCAGAUGCUAAGGAAAAUAGUGUAGAGGCAAACUGUUAAAAAAUUAAAUUAAAAACAAUUGCAGGGAUUUCCCGUUGUGGCUCAGUGGGUUAAGAAUCCAACUAGUAUCCAUGAGGAUGCGGGUUCAAUCCCUGGCCUGGCUCAGUAGGUUAAGAAUAUGGCGUUGCUGCAAGCUUCGGUGUAGAUCAAAGAUGUGGCUUGGAUCUCGAGUUGCUGUUGCUCUGUCUUUGGUGUAGGCCAGAAGCUGCAGUUCUAAUUUGACUCUCGUAUAGGAACUUCCAUAUGGUAUGGGAGCAGCCCUAAAAAAAAAUUUAAAAACUAUUGUAAAAAAUUAAACAUAGGCGUUCCCUGGUGGCUCUGCAGGUUAAGGAUCUGGCAUUGUUCCUGCUCUGGCUCUGUUAGUUGCUGUGAGGCGGGUUCAAUCCCUGGCCCCAGGAAGUUUCUCAUGGCACAGGCUCAACCAAAAAAAAAAAAAAAAAAAAAAAAAAAAAGUAAACAUGGCAUAACCCUAUGACCUGGCCAUUCUACGUGCUUGAUAUCUAUCCAAAGGAAAUGUAAGCAAGGUCUCAAAAAGAUAUUUGCACCCCCUUGUUCAUUUGCAGCAUUACUCACAAUAGCCAAGAGCUGGUCGUAACCCGACUGUCCACAGAAGGAUGACUGGAUAAACAAAAUAUCGUUUAUACAUACCAUGGAAUGUUGUUUAGUGUUUUAAAAGAUGGAAAUCCCGGAGUUCCCGUCGUGGCACAUUAUUUUUUUCCUGCACCUGUGGCAUAUGGGAGUUCCCAGGCUAGGGAUUGAAUCACAGCAGCAGCAGCUGGCCUACAUACACCAUAGCAACGCCAGAUCAGAGGUGAAUCUGCAAACUACACCACAGCUUGCCCACUGAGAAAGGUCAGGGAUUGAACCUGAAGCCUCAUGGAUACUAGCCAGAUUCUUAACCCACUGAGCCACAAUGGAAACUCCUUUUUUUAGUUAUUUUAAAAUGUAGGUAUGAGAAUAUUUAUUUAUUUAUUUAUCCGAGCCACGUCUGCAACCUACACCACAGCUC